Molecule: ribosomal RNA, 433 nt
Filed under: uncultured bacterium
Lineage: Bacteria
Description: partial 16S ribosomal RNA
Rfam family: Bacterial small subunit ribosomal RNA
Source: RNAcentral
AACGAACGCUGGCGGCAUGCCUAACACAUGCAAGUCGAACGAGAACUUCGGGUCUAGUGGCGCACGGGUGCGUAACGCGUGGGAACCUGCCCUUAGGUUCGGAAUCACUCCCCGAAAGGGAUGCUACUCACAGUUAAUGUCUUAGGACCAAAGAUUUAUCGCCUUUGGAUGGGCCCGAGUUGGAUUAGUUAGUUGGUAGGGUAAAAGCCUACCAAGGCGACGAUCCAUAGCUGCUUUGAGAGGAUGAUCAGCCACGCCGGGACUGAGACACGGCCCAGACUCCUACGGGAGGCAGCAGUGGGGAAUAUUGGACAAUGGGCGAAAGCGUGAUCCAGCAAUGCCGCGUGAGUGAUGAAGGCCUUAGGGUUGUAAAGCUCUUUUACCCGGGAUGAUAAUGACAGUACCUGGAGAAGAAGCUCCGGCUAACUCCGUG